CAAAUACUCCCUCCGUUUAGAAAUACUUGUUCUAAAGAUGAAUGUACUAGACUUAUUUUAGUUAUAGAUACAUUCAUUAUAUCCAAUUUUUAGGACAAGUAUUUCCGGACGGAGGUAGUACAUC
Molecule: non-coding RNA, 124 nt
Organism: Hordeum vulgare subsp. vulgare (domesticated barley)
Lineage: Eukaryota; Viridiplantae; Streptophyta; Magnoliopsida; Poales; Poaceae
Source: Rfam